CCGCGGUAAUACGGAGGGUCCAAGCGUUAUCCGGAAUUACUGGGCGUAAAGCGCACGCAGGCGGUCUUUUAAGUUUGACGUGAAAGCUCCCGGCUUAACUGGGAGAGGUCGUUGAAAACUGGAAGGCUUGAGGCAAUGAGAGGGGUGUAGAAUUCCCGGUGUAGUGGUGGAAUGCGUAGAUAUCGGGAGGAAUACCAGUGGCGAAAGCGGCACCCUAGCGUUGUUCUGACGCUCAUGUGCGAAAGCGUGGGGAGCGAACGGG
RNAcentral lists this ribosomal RNA (262 nucleotides) under uncultured bacterium. Its description in RNAcentral is "partial 16S ribosomal RNA". It matches the Rfam family "Bacterial small subunit ribosomal RNA", at positions 515 to 776 of the family's 1533-position model. The record is from RNAcentral.